RNAcentral lists this long non-coding RNA (333 nucleotides) under Ananas comosus (pineapple). Its description in RNAcentral is "long non-coding RNA (ACOM_LNC035096)". Lineage: Eukaryota; Viridiplantae; Streptophyta; Magnoliopsida; Poales; Bromeliaceae. The record is from RNAcentral.
CGUUGGAGCGGCGUGCUUUCGUCGCGGCGUUCACAUUUUGGUAAGCUUUUGGGAUUUUAUUUAAAUCCUUCAUGAAUGAUAUUCUAGUAGUAUCUAGAGUGUUCUAAACAUAUUUGCUCCAUUUAAUUUGGAUUAUUUGGAGGUUAUUUGCACGUUAGGGCUCCGAAUGGGAUUUUAUAAAAUAGUAGGGUUUGAUCUCAUUUGACCCUCAGUAAACCUAAUUGCUAGGUAAACGAACGCGUUGGCGAAGUCGGUUCGGUGAUUCGUCGAGCCGUUGUAAAGAUAUUGAAGAAACGGACUAUUUAGCUUCGUUUUCGCCUGGAGGGCCGAGGC